CCUACGGGAGGCUGCAGUAAGGAAUAUUGGUCAAUGGACGAAAGUCUGAACCAGCCAUGCCGCGUGAAGGAUGAAGGCCCUCUGGGUUGUAAACUUCUUUUAUCUGGGACGAAAAAAGGGAAUUCUUUCCCACUUGACGGUACCAGAGGAAUAAGCACCGGCUAACUCCGUGCCAGCAGCCGCGGUAAUACGGAGGGUGCAAGCGUUAUCCGGAUUCACUGGGUUUAAAGGGAGCGUAGGUGGGCAGGUAAGUCAGUGGUGAAAUCUCCGAGCUUAACUCGGAAACUGCCAUUGAUACUAUUUGUCUUGAAUAUUCUGGAGGUAAGCGGAAUAUGUCAUGUAGCGGUGAAAUGCUUAGAUAUGACAUAGAACACCAAUUGCGAAGGCAGCUUGCUACGGAACUAUUGACACUGAGGCUCGAAAGCGUGGGGAUCAAACAGGCUUAGAUACCCGGGUAGUC
RNAcentral lists this ribosomal RNA (460 nucleotides) under uncultured Ferruginibacter sp. RNAcentral describes it as "bacterial SSU rRNA". It matches the Rfam family "Bacterial small subunit ribosomal RNA", at positions 338 to 795 of the family's 1533-position model. Lineage: Bacteria; Pseudomonadati; Bacteroidota; Chitinophagia; Chitinophagales; Chitinophagaceae. The record is from RNAcentral.